Molecule: unclassified non-coding RNA, 175 nt
Filed under: rhizosphere metagenome
Description: partial ribosomal RNA internal transcribed spacer region
Source: RNAcentral
GUAGGUGAACCUGCGGAAGGAUCAUCACUGAAUAUGAUGCUAUUCCACCCUUUGUGCCCUGUUUGCCGGUGCGCCUUUGUGCGCGCCGUAUUUUUAUUAUUUUCACGCCUGAGCCUGAUCUGCUUAAAAGCUAAAAACACACACACAACUUUUAACAACGGAUCUCUUGGUUCUC